GUGCGCGCGCGCAGUGUUGCUUUGGAAUUCAUUUUCUGUCGCCUCUGUUGCCGCCGCGGCUAAAACAGGGUGGCAACUCAGCGGCGCAACAACCAAAAAACAUCCGUCGCGCGCAUUGAAAUCAUUGUGAUUGCCACUAAAUAAAAUGGUGCACCUAUUAGUACAUAACAACCGGCAGCAGUUACUUGUACUCCCCAUUGCUCACCGCAUGCAAAUCGCCUCAAAAUGGCGCUUAGAAUUUGGAUAAGAAACGAACAAUGGCAAGGCUUACGUAAGUGCAAAAAGCAAUAACAAAACGUUGGAAGGAGAGAGGAAACAAGUCUGCGAGAAAACAGGGUGUUUUUUCUUCUAUAACCAUGUGGCCUGUAGUUAGAUCCCACCAUAUAAACAAGAUACCCUGUUUCAAUCAAAGAGAGCGCCUGAGAGAGCAAACACAACCAGUACACAAAAAGCAACAGAACACUGGAGGAAGACAGGGUGUUUAUUUGUUACUUAUCCAUGUGGCUAACAAGAAGUCAGACUAUAUCAGCGAAACACCCUGUUGCCGCAAAAGAGAGAGAAACGCACUCACACCAACGCGCCGACCCCGUGUAUACAGUGGAAAGCGACGUCGGCAGAGCGGAUUCAGCCGACUAUUGCAGUACAUAAUGAAAUCGACGAAACCGAAAAUCAGAAACCAAACGGACCACUAGCGAGCUACAACUCUGCCACGGCUACACUUUACACACUCAUGUACUCCUCCACCUCGCUCACCAGCCCACACACACACCCACAAAGGGGUGCGUGCGGUGAGAGGCAGGCAGGAAAAAGUAAAAAAGCAAAGUGCAUCUCACCAUGACAAUGGCGGAACCAUAAAAACACAUGUUCCCAUCUUGAAUCGAAGCGAAUUCGGCGGCCCACCUCCUUCGAAAAAAACAGGCGAAAAAUAUCUGUAUACGCGAAAAAGUUGAGCUGCUAAAAAUGCGACAUGGAAACCUUGCACUUAUCGAUUCGCCUCGCUCAUUGCGCAAUGAAAAAUGCAGCGGGGGUGGCGAGAGAGAGCCUCUCUUUCUCUUUGAGGCACCUGCAGCGAUAGGAAAUGCAAAUCCGCCUUCCACUUUCCAGCUCAAAAGUUCAAAGUUCACGUGCAACCAAAUACUGGGUGCAGCGCAUGCACCGAAAUCCCCGGACCGAAAAAAAGGGGCAAACAAAAACUCUCCGACUUCCAGGCGCCGCAGGAAGUUUCAGAUUGCUUGUCUUGGAAUACUGCAAAAAUAAAUGGAUACAACACAUAUUAUAUGUGGUUCCUGUUACAACGAUCGAGCUUUAUAUAAUGUCAAUUAAUUGGAUAUUCAUACGUGGUCAGCAAACUAUCAGAUUUAGGUUUUCGCCUGCGUCGCCUGAUUUAUAAAGUGAUGAAUUCCUUUUAGAAAUUAAUGUUUCAAUGUCCGGACAUUAAAAUAGGUAAAAGUUGUAUACAUUUGUGUGUAUUGUUUACAUUAUAAAAUUGUAUUCAUUUUUAAUUUAAUA
This is a long non-coding RNA of Drosophila elegans, 1509 nucleotides long. RefSeq lists it as uncharacterized. NCBI's taxonomy places the organism in Eukaryota, Metazoa, Arthropoda, Insecta, Diptera, Drosophilidae. The record is from RefSeq and is a predicted model, not a curated record. The transcript is spliced from 2 exons.